RNAcentral lists this ribosomal RNA (432 nucleotides) under uncultured bacterium. RNAcentral's name for it is "partial 16S ribosomal RNA". It matches the Rfam family "Bacterial small subunit ribosomal RNA", at positions 29 to 506 of the family's 1533-position model. The record is from RNAcentral.
AACGAACGCUGGCGGCAUGCCUAACACAUGCAAGUCGAACGAGACCUUCGGGUCUCGUGGCGCACGGGUGCGUAACGCGUGGGAACCUGCCCUUAGGUUCGGAAUCACUCCCCGAAAGGGGUGCUAAUACCGGAUAAUGUCUUCGGACCCAAGAUUUAUCGCCUUUGGAUGGGCCCGCGUUGGAUUAGCUAGUUGGUAGGGUAACAGCCUACCAAGGCGACGAUCCAUAGCUGGUCUGAGAGGAUGAUCAGCCACACUGGGACUGAGACACGGCCCAGACUCCUACGGGAGGCAGCAGUGGGGAAUAUUGGACAAUGGGCGAAAGCCUGAUCCAGCAAUGCCGCGUGAGUGAUGAAGGCCUUAGGGUUGUAAAGCUCUUUUACCCGGGAUGAUAAUGACAGUACCGGGAGAAUAAGCUCCGGCUAACUCCGU